GGCACGGUGCGCUAAUCGGCAAAGCGGCCAGGCUCAAACCCUGGGUCAUGUGAGUUCGAAUCUCACCCGUGCUA
This 74-nucleotide transfer RNA is filed under the name Planctomycetota bacterium. RNAcentral describes it as "tRNA-Leu". It matches the Rfam family "tRNA". Rfam says of the family: Transfer RNA (tRNA) molecules are approximately 80 nucleotides in length. Their secondary structure includes four short double-helical elements and three loops (D, anti-codon, and T loops). Further hydrogen bonds mediate the characteristic L-shaped molecular structure. tRNAs have two regions of fundamental functional importance: the anti-codon, which is responsible for specific mRNA codon recognition, and the 3' end, to which the tRNAs corresponding amino acid is attached (by aminoacyl-tRNA synthetases). tRNAs cope with the degeneracy of the genetic code in two manners: having more than one tRNA (with a specific anti-codon) for a particular amino acid; and 'wobble' base-pairing, i.e. permitting non-standard base-pairing at the 3rd anti-codon position. The record is from RNAcentral. RNAcentral also lists the same sequence under 1 other name. Lineage: Bacteria; Pseudomonadati; Planctomycetota.